Lingula anatina is the source of this 114-nucleotide non-coding RNA. Lineage: Eukaryota; Metazoa; Brachiopoda; Lingulata; Lingulida; Lingulidae. The record is from Rfam.
AUCGGUUACGGUGACAUGGUCCCUAAAACGUACAUGGGCAUGGUGGUGGGUUCUCUCUGCGCCAUUACUGGUGUGCUCACCAUUGCCCUACCCGUGCCCAUUAUUGUGGGGAAC